UAAGGCUAAAUAUUGGCGAGAGACCGAUAGCGAACAAGUACCGUGAGGGAAAGAUGAAAAGAACUUUGAAAAGAGAGUUAAACAGUACGUGAAAUUGUUGAAAGGGAAACGAUUGAAGUCAGUCAUACCAACGGGAAAUCAACCUUUUGAGCUUGGUCUCGUGGGUUUGAAGAGUUUCAAAGCCUUCGGAUUCGCGGGAUUGGGAUCUCUUGGUGUACUUUUUCGUACGGUUAGUCAACAUCGGUUUUGAAUGUCAUAAAAUGACUGGAGGAAUGUAGCUUCGAUCUCGUAUUGAAGUGUUAUAGCCUUUGGUAGAUGUGAUGUUUGAGACCGAGGAUUGCAACGGAUACCCUUCAGGGCUAUUCGUCUGAUCUCUGAUACGUUGCCUUGAUGUUGAAAGCUUGCUUAUGAUGUUAGGGUAUUACGGUCAAAAGGUUAGAACGAAUUACA
RNAcentral lists this ribosomal RNA (450 nucleotides) under Funneliformis mosseae. RNAcentral's name for it is "eukaryotic LSU rRNA". It matches the Rfam family "Eukaryotic large subunit ribosomal RNA", at positions 311 to 628 of the family's 3401-position model. The record is from RNAcentral. Lineage: Eukaryota; Fungi; Glomeromycota; Glomeromycetes; Glomerales; Glomeraceae.